CUUUGCUGUAAUUGGCAGAGAUAUAUUUUUUAAUUUAAGUCAUGUAACAAUUCUAUCAAUCUGUAUACGCACUUAGGUGCCAAUGAAUGCAUGUCACACAUGAAUGAAUUGAAAUACUUAGCACAGCUUUCGCUGGUACAGUAAUUUCAGAUAGGGGUAUGAUUUGUUUUAUACAUCUUUUCUCUGCAGACAGAAGGUCUGACACUAGGCCUUGUAAAAGGAUCUUAAGGCCUGAGGAGGAUGACUUGGAAAUUAAAUGAGAACAUCAGGAGCUGUGGGGGAAAAGUUUGGAAAUGUGAAAAAGUCACUAACAAUAGAUGAAUGUCCUUCCUUAAGGUCAGCUGCUAGGCAACCAGACAGGAAACAAAAAGGAGCCCCUUCUCUCGGCUGGAGCCUGGCUACAAUGACAGCAGCAAUGUGCAAAUCUGAAGAGGCUAGUUCAGAAGAGCAUGGAUCUGUUCAGACCAGCUUAAAACUCCUGGUAAGCAAGAAUCAAAUAAUAUAUUCAGAUUCAAAGCUUUUUGGUCAAAUGUUUAAGAAAAACAAUUUUGGUUUUACUUAA
This 562-nucleotide long non-coding RNA is filed under the name Crocodylus porosus (Australian saltwater crocodile). RNAcentral's name for it is "lncRNA (ENSCPRG00005007413.1)". The record is from RNAcentral. Lineage: Eukaryota; Metazoa; Chordata; Crocodylia; Crocodylidae.